UAAUAAGUGUUUUCAUGGCACUUUUUAAAUCCAUAUCCACCUUGUGUGCAAUGUCAGUCGAUCUUUUCGUCCAUGAAAAGGAUCGACCAAACAUCAACCUUUAUUUAAUUGAACUCUUUGUCUGAAAAAUAUUAUGAAUAAACUAAUUCAAAAUA
This 155-nucleotide unclassified non-coding RNA is filed under the name soil metagenome. RNAcentral's name for it is "partial internal transcribed spacer 1". The record is from RNAcentral.